CAGGCUCAUCAACAUAAGGCUCAUGAAACAACGCAGUAUGUGAACCUAAAGACCCAUCAACAAAACCCUUGACACCACCCAAGUAAAUCCACGGGCUCACAACCUGACCCAUUUUGUGGAUAAGAUCGUGUAGAGAUGACCAUGUUUCCAUUGGAAAAAAUAAGCAAACCCUGAUCGUCAUCUUCCCUGAAGAAUCUGCCCACUGAUA
Molecule: unclassified non-coding RNA, 208 nt
Filed under: Hevea brasiliensis (rubber tree)
Lineage: Eukaryota; Viridiplantae; Streptophyta; Magnoliopsida; Malpighiales; Euphorbiaceae
Source: RNAcentral